Molecule: ribosomal RNA, 1399 nt
Filed under: uncultured bacterium
Lineage: Bacteria
Description: 16S ribosomal RNA
Rfam family: Bacterial small subunit ribosomal RNA
Source: RNAcentral
AGAGUUUGAUCCUGGCUCAGGAUGAACGCUAGCUACAGGCUUAACACAUGCAAGUCGAGGGGCAUCAUGGGAGGACUUCGGUCCUUUUGAUGGCGACCGGCGAAUGGGUGAGUAACACGUAUCCGACCUGCCCUGUACUGGAGGAUAGCCUCCCGAAAGGGAAAUUAAUACUCCAUGUGUCAAAUGUCCGCAUGGUCGUUUGAUGAAAGAUUUAUCGGUACAGGAUGGGGAUGCGUUCCAUUAGCCAGCCGGCGGGGUAACGGCCCACCGGGGCGACGAUGGAUAGGGGUUCUGAGAGGAAGGUCCCCCACACUGGAACUGAGACACGGUCCAGACUCCUACGGGAGGCAGCAGUGAGGAAUAUUGGUCAAUGGCCGCAAGGCUGAACCAGCCAAGUAGCGUGCGGGACGACGGCCCUAUGGGUUGUAAACCGCUUUUAUACGGGGGUAAAACGCGCCACGUGUGGUGUCUUGCAAGUACCGUAAGAAAAAGGACCGGCUAAUUCCGUGCCAGCAGCCGCGGUAAUACGGAGGAUCCGAGCGUUAUCCGGAUUUAUUGGGUUUAAAGGGAGCGUAGGCGGGACGUUAAGUCAGUUGUGAAAUGUGGCGGCUCAACCGCCGAACUGCGUCGCGAACUGCCGUUCUUGAGUGCAGACGAGGUGGGCGGAAUUCGUGGUGUAGCGGUGAAAUGCUUAGAUAUCACGAAGAACUCCGAUUGCGAAGGCAGCCCACCAGGGUGUAACUGACGCUAAAGCUCGAAAGUGCGGGUAUCGAACAGGAUUAGAUACCCUGGUAGUCCGCACGGUAAACGAUGGAUGCCCGCUGUUUUGCGAUACAAUGUAAGCGGCCAAGCGAAAGCGUUAAGCAUCCCACCUGGGGAGUACGCCGGCAACGGUGAAACUCAAAGGAAUUGACGGGGGCCCGCACAAGCGGAGGAACAUGUGGUUUAAUUCGACGAUACGCGAGGAACCUUACCCGGGCUUGAAAGUUAGUGAAUGACCCCGAAAAGGGUCAGGCUCGCAAGAGACACGAAACUAGGUGCUGCAUGGUUGUCGUCAGCUCGUGCCGUGAGGUGUCGGCUUAAGUGCCAUAACGAGCGCAACCCCUGUCGUCAGUUGCCAUCAGGUAAAGCUGGGAACUCUGGCGAGACUGCUACUGUAAGGUAGAGGAGGGUGGGGAUGACGUCAAAUCAGCACGGCCCUUACGUCCGGGGCGACACACGUGUUACAAUGGUCGGUACAGAGGGCUGCUACCAGGCGACUGGAUGCUAAUCUCCUAAAACCGGCCUCAGUUCGGAUUGGAGUCUGCAACUCGACUCCAUGAAGCUGGAUUCGCUAGUAAUCGCGCAUCAGCCAUGGCGCGGUGAAUACGUUCCCGGGCCUUGCACACACAGGCCGUCA